RNAcentral lists this ribosomal RNA (1074 nucleotides) under Draculoides carmillae. RNAcentral's name for it is "partial large subunit ribosomal RNA". It matches the Rfam family "Eukaryotic large subunit ribosomal RNA", at positions 76 to 877 of the family's 3401-position model. The record is from RNAcentral. Lineage: Eukaryota; Metazoa; Arthropoda; Arachnida; Schizomida; Hubbardiidae.
UCCCUUAGUAGCGGCGAGCGAACAGGGAAGAGCCCAGCGCCGAAUUCCGCGUCUCAAAGGGCGUUUGGAACAUGUGGCGUUUAGGAGGAAUCUCUCCGAGGGCAGACGGUGUCGCAAGUCCCCCUGAACGGGGCUGUGAUCCAGAGCGGGUGCGAGGCCCAUAGCUGGUACCGUCUCCUUCGGGUGUCCCCUCCUUGGAGUCGGGUUGCUUGGGAGUGCAGCCCUAAUUGGGUGGUAAACUCCACCUAAGGCUAAAUACGUCCGUGAGACCGAUAGCAAACAAGUACCGUGAGGGAAAGUUGCAAAGAACUUUGAAGAGAGAGUUCAAGAGUACGUGAAACCGCUCAGAGGCAAACGGGUGGGCCCACGAAAGCCGAAGGCGGGGGGAUUCAGUCGAGAGGACGGUGGGGCAGGACUGGCUGGUUGGACGGACCGUGCCAGGCCGGGUCAGUUCCCGAGAUCUGCCGCCUUUCGACGCAUUUCCCCCUGCUUAGUAGGACGCCGCAACCGGUUGGCGCUGCAGCCAUAAGGGAGAGUAAAUGGAAGGUAGCCAGUGAGUUCUUCUUCGGAGGCGCGAGCUGGUCCUAAGCCGACUCUCCUGGUGCUUGUGGCCCGACCGUGGUCGUGAGUCCCUCAACGGGAUGUCGCCGAGCCCUCUGACUGGAGCUGGAGAAACGGCAGGCUGCUUUCCGCGGAAAAAAUCGAUCGCUUCACGCGUGCAGUGGGCGAUCUCCGGAGGUAGCUGCUGGUGCGUUUUUCUCCUGCGCUGGGCACAGGCAGUUGGCGGCGAGUAGGUCGGUCACCCACCCGACCCGUCUUGAAACACGGACCAAGGAGUCUAACAUGUGCGCGAGUCAUUGGGUCUUGAACAAGCCCAAAGGCGCAAUGAAAGUGAAGACCAGCACUGAAGCUGGUGGAGUUGGGAAACUGUGUCACUGAAGAUGCAGUUGCACCAACGGCCCGUCCCGUCCGCAUCGUCGGUGGGGCGGAGCGAGAGCGUACACGUUGGGACCCGAAAGAUGGUGAACUAUGCCUGGGCAGGACGAAGCCAGAGGAAACUCUGGUGGAGGUCCG